This 495-nucleotide ribosomal RNA is filed under the name uncultured bacterium. RNAcentral describes it as "partial 16S ribosomal RNA". It matches the Rfam family "Bacterial small subunit ribosomal RNA", at positions 28 to 507 of the family's 1533-position model. The record is from RNAcentral.
GACGAACGCUGGCGGCGUGCCUAAUACAUGCAAGUAGAACGCUGAAGGAGGAGCUUGCUUCUCUGGAUGAGUUGCGAACGGGUGAGUAACGCGUAGGUAACCUGCCUGGUAGCGGGGGAUAACUAUUGGAAACGAUAGCUAAUACCGCAUAAGAGUAGAUGUUGCAUGACAUUUGCUUAAAAGGUGCAAUUGCAUCACUACCAGAUGGACCUGCGUUGUAUUAGCUAGUUGGUGGGGUAACGGCUCACCAAGGCGACGAUACAUAGCCGACCUGAGAGGGUGAUCGGCCACACUGGGACUGAGACACGGCCCAGACUCCUACGGGAGGCAGCAGUAGGGAAUCUUCGGCAAUGGACGGAAGUCUGACCGAGCAACGCCGCGUGAGUGAAGAAGGUUUUCGGAUCGUAAAGCUCUGUUGUAAGAGAAGAACGAGUGUGAGAGUGGAAAGUUCACACUGUGAUGGUAGCUUACCAGAAAGGGACGGCUAACUACGUG